RNAcentral lists this ribosomal RNA (404 nucleotides) under uncultured bacterium. RNAcentral describes it as "partial 16S ribosomal RNA". It matches the Rfam family "Bacterial small subunit ribosomal RNA", at positions 28 to 526 of the family's 1533-position model. The record is from RNAcentral.
GAUGAACGCUGACAGAAUGCUUAACACAUGCAAGUCAACUGUGGCGGACGGGUGAGUAACGCGUAAAGAACUUGCCUCACGGAUAGGGACAACAUUUGGAAACGAAUGCUAAUACCUGAUACUGUGAGAGAGCUUUGCGUCCCAUUAGCUAGUUGGAGAGGUAACGGCUCCCCAAGGCGAGGAUGGGUAGCCGGCCUGAGAGGGUGAUCGGCCACAAGGGGACUGGGACACGGCCCUUAGUCCUACGGGAGGAAGGAGUGGGGAAUAUUGGAAAAUGGACCAAAGUCUGAUCAAGCAAUUCUGGGUGAACGAUGAAGUUGUCGGAAUGUAAAGUGCUUUCAGUUGGGAAGCGGUACCAACAGAAGAAGUGACGGCUAAAUACGUGCCAGCAGCCGCGGUAAUUC